RNAcentral lists this ribosomal RNA (253 nucleotides) under uncultured bacterium. RNAcentral describes it as "partial 16S ribosomal RNA". It matches the Rfam family "Bacterial small subunit ribosomal RNA", at positions 524 to 776 of the family's 1533-position model. The record is from RNAcentral.
GACGUAGGGAGCAAGCGUUGUCCGGAAUUACUGGGCGUAAAGAGCUCGUAGGCGGGCGCGUGCGUCUGAAAGGAAAUCUCAGGGCUCAACUCUGGGGCUUUUUCAGAUACGGCGCUUCUUGAGUGUAACAGAGGAAAGCAGAAUUCCCGGUGUAGCGGUGAAAUGCGUAGAUAUCGUAAGGAAGACCAGUGGCGAAGGCGGGUCUCUGGACAGUUCCUGACGCUGAGGCACGAAGGCUAGGGGAGCGAACAGG